GACCCCUUAGCUCAGUGGUAGAGCGUCGCAUUCCAGUCAAUCUUGUGCAAUUUUGUGCCUCGCGAAGGCCGUCCGUUCAAUCCGGGCAGGGGUCA
This is a non-coding RNA of Mycena vulgaris, 95 nucleotides long. The record is from the annotation of a GenBank genome assembly. NCBI's taxonomy places the organism in Eukaryota, Fungi, Basidiomycota, Agaricomycetes, Agaricales, Mycenaceae.